AGGGGAAUAGCUCAAUUGGCAGAGCGUUGGUCUCCAAAACCAAAGGUUGUGGGUUCGAUUCCCUCUUCCCCUGCCA
RNAcentral lists this transfer RNA (76 nucleotides) under Pigmentiphaga litoralis. RNAcentral describes it as "tRNA-Trp". It matches the Rfam family "tRNA". Rfam says of the family: Transfer RNA (tRNA) molecules are approximately 80 nucleotides in length. Their secondary structure includes four short double-helical elements and three loops (D, anti-codon, and T loops). Lineage: Bacteria; Pseudomonadati; Pseudomonadota; Betaproteobacteria; Burkholderiales; Alcaligenaceae. The record is from RNAcentral.